UUCGGACGGAAGAGGGGACAGUUUAGUGGCGAACGGGUGAGUAACGCGUGAGUAACCUGCCCUUCAGAGGGGGACAACAGUUGGAAACGACUGCUAAUACCGCAUAAGCCCACGGUGUCACAUGGCACAGUGAGAAAAGGAGAAAUCCGCUGAAAGAUGGACUCGCGUCUGAUUAGAUAGUUGGUGGGGUAACGGCCUACCAAGUCGACGAUCAGUAGCCGGACUGAGAGGUCGAACGGCCACAUUGGGACUGAGAGACGGCCCAGACUCCUACGGGAGGCAGCAGUGGGGAAUAUUGCACAAUGGGGGGAACCCUGAUGCAGCGACGCCGCGUGAAGGAAGAAGGUAUUCGUAUUGUAAACUUCUGUCGCAGAUGACGAAAUAAUGACGGUAAUCUGCAAGAAAGCACCGGCUAACUACGUGCCAGCAGCCGCGGUAAAACGUAGGGUGCUAGCGUUGUCCGGAAUUACUGAGUGUAAAGGGAGCGCAGGUGGCAGUGCAAGUUGGAUGUAAAAUCUACGGGCUCAACCCGUAUAAGCAUUCAAAACUGUGCAGCUUGAGUGAAGUAGAGGUAGGUGGAAUUUCCGGUGUAGCGGUGGAAUGCGUAGAUAUCGGAAGGAACAUCAGUGGCGAAGGCG
This 638-nucleotide ribosomal RNA is filed under the name uncultured bacterium. Its description in RNAcentral is "bacterial SSU rRNA". It matches the Rfam family "Bacterial small subunit ribosomal RNA", at positions 76 to 723 of the family's 1533-position model. The record is from RNAcentral.